UGGUAGAUGCACCCUGGUUGAGGCUCCGGACUAAAUAUCCGGGGCAUUUUUUU
This 53-nucleotide small RNA is filed under the name Lyngbya sp. PCC 8106. RNAcentral's name for it is "Nitrogen stress-induced RNA 1". It matches the Rfam family "Nitrogen stress-induced RNA 1". The record is from Rfam by way of RNAcentral. Lineage: Bacteria; Bacillati; Cyanobacteriota; Cyanophyceae; Oscillatoriales; Microcoleaceae.